GCUUGCACACAGCUCUUCAUAGCAGCGCUGUUCCCGACCGAGAAGCAGAAAUCACCCGAACGCGCUGCGACACAUGAGCGCCGACAGCAGGUGCUGUGUCUGCUACGGAAAAACUGCCGGCGGCCCUGGUUCUGGAGUCGGAAUGGAGCCACUCACGCUGAAGCUCAGGAGCUCUGAACAAACGCACUCCGAGGCAGGCAGCAAGGGGCCUGACUACUAGUGACUCAGCCAGAAGGGGGUACUUUCCUUGGAAGACAGAACAGGUGGGGGAAGUUCUUGGCGCGGUUUCAGCGGCUGCAUGAAGACUUCGAGGACCUAAACGCCUCCUCACGU
RNAcentral lists this long non-coding RNA (333 nucleotides) under Oryctolagus cuniculus (rabbit). RNAcentral's name for it is "lncRNA (ENSOCUG00000033266.1)". The record is from RNAcentral. Lineage: Eukaryota; Metazoa; Chordata; Mammalia; Lagomorpha; Leporidae.